CACGGAUCCAGAGUUUGAUCAUGGCUCAGGAUUAACGCUGGCGGCAUGCCUAAUACAUGCAAAUCGAACGAAGCCUUUUGGCUUAGUGGUGAACGGGUGAGUAACACGUAUCCAAUCUACCCUUAAGUUUGGGAUAACUAGUCGAAAGAUUAGCUAAUACCGGAUAAUAACAUUCACUUGCAUGAGUGAAUGUGGAAAGUUGCGUUUGCAACGCUUUUGGAUGAGGGUGCGACGUAUCAGAUAGUUGGUGAGGUAACGGCUCACCAAGUCAUUGACGCGUAGCUGUACUGAGAGGUAGAACAGCCACAAUGGGACUGAGACACGGCCCAUACUCCUACGGGAGGCAGCAGUAGGGAAUUUUUCACAAUGGGCGAAAGCCUUAUGAAGCAAUGCCGCGUGAACGAUGAAGGUCUAUAAGAUUGUAAAGUUCUUUUAUUUGGGAAGAACCACUAAAAUAGGAAAUGAUUUUAGUUUGACUGUACCAUUUGAAUAAGUAUCGGCUAACUAUGUGCCAGCAGCCGCGGUAAUACAUAGGAUGCAAGCGUUAUCCGGAUUUACUGGGCGUAAAACGAGCGCAGGCGGAUUUGUAAGUUUGGUAUGAAAUCUAGAUGCUUAACGUCUAGCUGUAUCAAAAACUACGAAUCUAGAGUGUAGCAGAGAGUUGGGGAACUCCAUGUGGAGCGGUAAAAUGCGUAGAUAUAUGGAAGAACACCGGUGGCGAAGGCGCCAACUUGGACUAUUACUGACGCUUAGGCUCGAAAGUGUGGGGAGCAAAUAGGAUUAGAUACCCUAGUAGUCCACACCGUAAACGAUCAUCAUUAAAUGUCGGCUCGCUUAUGAGUCGGUGUUGUAGCUAACGCAUUAAAUGAUGUGCCUGGGUAGUACAUUCGCAAGAAUGAAACUCAAACGGAAUUGACGGGGACCCGCACAAGUGGUGGAGCAUGUUGCUUAAUUUGACAGUACACGUAGAACCUUACCUAGGUUUGACAUCUAUUGCAAUGCUAUAGAAAUAUAGCGGAGGUUAACAAUAUGACAGGUGGUGCAUGGUUGUCGUCAGCUCGUGUCGUGAGAUGUUGGGUUAAGUCCCGCAACGAGCGCAACCCCUUUCGCUAGUUAAUUUAUCUAUCGAUACUGCUACCGCAAGGUAGAGGAAGGUGGGGAUGACGUCAAAUCAUCAUGCCCCUUAUAUCUAGGGCUGCAAACGUGCUACAAUGGCUAAUACAAACAGCUGCAAUACCGUAAGGUGGAGCGAAUCUGAUAAAGUUAGUCUCAGUUCGGAUAGAGGGCUGCAAUUCGCCCUCUUGAAGUUGGAAUCACUAGUAAUCGCGAAUCAGACAUGUCGCGGUGAAUACGUUCUCGGGUCUUGUACACACCGCCCGUCAAACUAUGGGAGCCGGUAAUAUCUGAAACCGUACUGUUAACCUUUUUGGAGGCAUACGUCUAGGGUAGGAUUGGUGACUGGAGUUAAGUCGUAA
Molecule: ribosomal RNA, 1475 nt
Filed under: uncultured Ureaplasma sp.
Lineage: Bacteria; Bacillati; Mycoplasmatota; Mycoplasmoidales; Mycoplasmoidaceae
Description: partial 16S ribosomal RNA
Rfam family: Bacterial small subunit ribosomal RNA
Source: RNAcentral